GGGUUGUGAGGUUAAGCGACUAAGCGUACACGGUGGAUGCCCUGGCAGUCAGAGGCGAUGAAGGACGUGCUAAUCUGCGAAAAGCGUCGGUAAGGUGAUAUGAACCGUUACAGCCGGCGAUGUCCGAAUGGGGAAACCCAGUGCAAUUCGUUGCACUAUCGUUAACUGAAUACAUAGGUUAACGAGGCGAACCGGGGGAACUGAAACAUCUAAGUACCCCGAGGAAAAGAAAUCAACCGAGAUUCCCCCAGUAGCGGCGAGCGAACGGGGAGCAGCCCAGAGUCUGAAUCAGCUUGUGUGUUAGUGGAACGGUCUGGAAAGUCCGACGGUACAGGGUGAUAGUCCCGUACACCAAAAUGCACAGGCUGUGAACUCGAAGAGUAGGGCGGGACACGUGGUAUCCUGUCUGAAUAUGGGGGGACCAUCCUCCAAGGCUAAAUACUCCUGACUGACCGAUAGUGAACCAGUACCGUGAGGGAAAGGCGAAAAGAACCCCGGCGAGGGGAGUGAAAAAGAACCUGAAACCGUGUACGUACAAGCAGUGGGAGCACCUUCGGGUGUGACUGCGUACCUUUUGUAUAAUGGGUCAGCGACUUAUAUUCUGUAGCAAGGUUAACCGUAUAGGGGAGCCGCAGGGAAACCGAGUCUUAACUGGGCGUUAAGUUGCAGGGUAUAGACCCGAAACCCGGUGAUCUAGCCAUGGGCAGGUUGAAGGUUGGGUAACACUAACUGGAGGACCGAACCGACUAAUGUUGAAAAAUUAGCGGAUGACUUGUGGCUGGGGGUGAAAGGCCAAUCAAACCGGGAGAUAGCUGGUUCUCCCCGAAAGCUAUUUAGGUAGCGCCUCGUGAACUCAUCUUCGGGGGUAGAGCACUGUUUCGGCUAGGGGGUCAUCCCGACUUACCAACCCGAUGCAAACUACGAAUACCGAAGAAUGUUAUCACGGGAGACACACGGCGGGUGCUAACGUCCGUCGUGAAGAGGGAAACAACCCAGACCGCCAGCUAAGGUCCCAAAGUCAUGGUUAAGUGGGAAACGAUGUGGGAAGGCACAGACAGCCAGGAUGUUGGCUUAGAAGCAGCCAUCAUUUAAAGAAAGCGUAAUAGCUCACUGGUCGAGUCGGCCUGCGCGGAAGAUGUAACGGGGCUAAACCAUGCACCGAAGCUGCGGCAGCGACACUAUGUGUUGUUGGGUAGGGGAGCGUUCUGUAAGCCUGCGAAGGUGUGCUGUGAGGCAUGCUGGAGGUAUCAGAAGUGCGAAUGCUGACAUAAGUAACGAUAAAGCGGGUGAAAAGCCCGCUCGCCGGAAGACCAAGGGUUCCUGUCCAACGUUAAUCGGGGCAGGGUGAGUCGACCCCUAAGGCGAGGCCGAAAGGCGUAGUCGAUGGGAAACAGGUUAAUAUUCCUGUACUUGGUGUUACUGCGAAGGGGGGACGGAGAAGGCUAUGUUAGCCGGGCGACGGUUGUCCCGGUUUAAGCAUGUAGGCUGGUUGUCCAGGCAAAUCCGGAUAAUCAAGGCUGAGGUGUGAUGACGAGGCACUACGGUGCUGAAGUAACAAAUGCCCUGCUUCCAGGAAAAGCCUCUAAGCAUCAGGUAACAUUAAAUCGUACCCCAAACCGACACAGGUGGUCAGGUAGAGAAUACCAAGGCGCUUGAGAGAACUCGGGUGAAGGAACUAGGCAAAAUGGUGCCGUAACUUCGGGAGAAGGCACGCUGGUGUGUAGGUGAAGUCCCUGCGGAUGGAGCUGAGACCAGUCGAAGAUACCAGCUGGCUGCAACUGUUUAUUAAAAACACAGCACUGUGCAAACACGAAAGUGGACGUAUACGGUGUGACGCCUGCCCGGUGCCGGAAGGUUAAUUGAUGGGGUUAUCCGUAAGGAGAAGCUCUUGAUCGAAGCCCCGGUAAACGGCGGCCGUAACUAUAACGGUCCUAAGGUAGCGAAAUUCCUUGUCGGGUAAGUUCCGACCUGCACGAAUGGCGUAAUGAUGGCCAGGCUGUCUCCACCCGAGACUCAGUGAAAUUGAACUCGCUGUGAAGAUGCAGUGUACCCGCGGCAAGACGGAAAGACCCCGUGAACCUUUACUAUAGCUUGACACUGAACAUUGAGCCUUGAUGUGUAGGAUAGGUGGGAGGCUUUGAAGCGUGGACGCCAGUCUGCGUGGAGCCAACCUUGAAAUACCACCCUUUAAUGUUUGAUGUUCUAACGUUGGCCCCUUAUCGGGGUUGCGGACAGUGUCUGGUGGGUAGUUUGACUGGGGCGGUCUCCUCCCAAAGCGUAACGGAGGAGCACGAAGGUUAGCUAAUCCUGGUCGGACAUCAGGAGGUUAGUGCAAUGGCAUAAGCUAGCUUGACUGCGAGCGUGACGGCGCGAGCAGGUGCGAAAGCAGGUCAUAGUGAUCCGGUGGUUCUGAAUGGAAGGGCCAUCGCUCAACGGAUAAAAGGUACUCCGGGGAUAACAGGCUGAUACCGCCCAAGAGUUCAUAUCGACGGCGGUGUUUGGCACCUCGAUGUCGGCUCAUCACAUCCUGGGGCUGAAGUAGGUCCCAAGGGUAUGGCUGUUCGCCAUUUAAAGUGGUACGCGAGCUGGGUUUAGAACGUCGUGAGACAGUUCGGUCCCUAUCUGCCGUGGGCGCUGGAGAAUUGAGGGGGCUGCUCCUAGUACGAGAGGACCGGAGUGGACGCAUCACUGGUGUUCGGGUUGUCAUGCCAAUGGCACUGCCCGGUAGCUAAAUGCGGAAGAGAUAAGUGCUGAAAGCAUCUAAGCACGAAACUUGCCCCGAGAUGAGUUCUCCCUGAGACUUUAAGUCUCCUGAAGGAACGUUGAAGACGACGACGUUGAUAGGCCGGGUGUGUAAGCGCAGCGAUGCGUUGAGCUAACCGGUACUAAUGAACCGUGAGGCUUAACCUUACAACGCCGAAG
Molecule: ribosomal RNA, 2922 nt
Filed under: Klebsiella pneumoniae
Lineage: Bacteria; Pseudomonadati; Pseudomonadota; Gammaproteobacteria; Enterobacterales; Enterobacteriaceae
Description: bacterial LSU rRNA
Rfam family: Bacterial large subunit ribosomal RNA
Source: RNAcentral